RNAcentral lists this ribosomal RNA (259 nucleotides) under uncultured bacterium. Its description in RNAcentral is "partial 16S ribosomal RNA". It matches the Rfam family "Bacterial small subunit ribosomal RNA", at positions 1244 to 1500 of the family's 1533-position model. The record is from RNAcentral.
GAGAAGCGAACCUGCGAAGGCAAGCGGAUCUCUUAAAGCCGUUCUCAGUUCGGACUGUAGGCUGCAACUCGCCUACACGAAGCUGGAAUCGCUAGUAAUCGCGGAUCAGCACGCCGCGGUGAAUACGUUCCCGGGCCUUGUACACACCGCCCGUCACACCAUGAGAGUCUGUAACACCCGAAGCCGGUGGGAUAACCUUUAUAGGAGUCAGCCGUCUAAGGUAGGACAGAUGAUUAGGGUGAAGUCGUAACAAGGUAAC